RNAcentral lists this ribosomal RNA (1417 nucleotides) under Chlorosplenium sinicum. RNAcentral's name for it is "partial large subunit ribosomal RNA". It matches the Rfam family "Eukaryotic large subunit ribosomal RNA", at positions 65 to 2343 of the family's 3401-position model. The record is from RNAcentral. Lineage: Eukaryota; Fungi; Ascomycota; Leotiomycetes; Helotiales; Chlorospleniaceae.
CCAACAGGGAUUGCCUCAGUAACGGCGAGUGAAGCGGCAACAGCUCAAAUUUGAAAGCUGCCUCCAGGCCGCGUUGUAAUUUGUAGAAGAUGCUUUGGGUGUUGGCCCGGUCUAAGUUCCUUGGAACAGGACGUCAUAGAGGGUGAGAAUCCCGUAUGUGACUGGUGCCCUCCCCCGUGUAAAGCUCUUUCGACGAGUCGAGUUGUUUGGGAAUGCAGCUCAAAAUGGGUGGUAAAUUUCAUCUAAAGCUAAAUAUUGGCCAGAGACCGAUAGCGCACAAGUAGAGUGAUCGAAAGAUGAAAAGCACUUUGGAAAGAGAGUUAAACAGUACGUGAAAUUGUUGAAAGGGAAGCGCUUGCAACCAGACUUGCGCGCUAUCGAUCAUCCGAAGUUCUCUUCGGUGCACUCGAUGGUGUUCAGGCCAGCAUCGGUUUCGGUGGUGGGAUAAAGGCCGUGGGAAUGUGGCUCUUCGGAGUGUUAUAGCCCACGGUGCAAUGCUACCUACCGGGACCGAGGACCGCGCUUCGGCUAGGAUGCUGGCGUAAUGGUUGUAAGCGACCCGUCUUGAAACACGGACCAAGGAGUCUAACAUCUAUGCGAGUGUUUGGGUGUCAAACCCAUCCGCGUAAUGAAAGUGAACGGAGGUGAGAACUCUCUAGGGUGCAUCAUCGACCGAUCCUGAUGUCUUCGGAUGGAUUUGAGUAAGAGCAUAGCUGUUGGGACCCGAAAGAUGGUGAACUAUGCGUGAAUAGGGUGAAGCCAGAGGAAACUCUGGUGGAGGCUCGCAGCGGUUCUGACGUGCAAAUCGAUCGUCAAAUUUGCGCAUAGGGGCGAAAGACUAAUCGAACCAUCCGUAUGGCAUCGUAACCUAGUUGAUGUACCUUUGCUAUAUCUACAGUUUGUUACAGCUGCUAGGUGGUUAAGAGAUGGCAGAAACAGUACGUCUAGUCCCUGACCAGGGGCAACACUCUCAAAUUGUUACGGGGACAUCCUGUCAGACUUCUAAGCUACCGCGGCCUAUCUCGAAAGAGGAGUUCGCACCAGGGUAACGACCUCGGGUAUGGUAACAACGCUUAGAUAGGGAUAAUCCGCAGCCAAGUCCUAAGGGUAGAAAUGCCUAUGGAUGCAGUUCACAGGCUAAAUGUGAGUGGGCCCUACUAGUAACAGUAGGGUCUAAGUUAUAGUCGGACCGCCGGGAGACCGGUCUGGUGGGUGAAAGUAUGCGAGGGUGGCACUGUUCCUACAGGCUUCGCAUACGAGAUCCUGCCGGGAACACUAACUUAAAAUGAUACGGGGUAGAGUCCUUUUUAAGUCUAAUUGUUUGGAAGAGAUGUUCAUAUGAGCUGUGUUCUUGAAUUGGAUACGUGACCAUGCUGGGUCGUCUUAUAAUAGAAGCAAUCGGAUGACACUCUGAAUC